Long non-coding RNA from Hippocampus zosterae (dwarf seahorse), 2562 nucleotides. RefSeq lists it as uncharacterized. The transcript has 3 exons. Lineage: Eukaryota; Metazoa; Chordata; Actinopteri; Syngnathiformes; Syngnathidae. The record is from RefSeq and is a predicted model, not a curated record.
AUGUCUCCAAAAUGUUGUCACUUGUUGCUAGGCAGAAUCAGCAAAGCACAAAUUGGCUCAUAUAUAUAUAUUUACGACCUCUGCAUUAAACCUAAAAUGUACAGCGACUGUGUUGUCGCGAUCUAAAAAAAAAAAAAUAGAAAAGUGAGUUAAAAACGCAGAGUGAGAACAAUUUAGCUCUAUUUGCUGAUUAAUUUGGGCCCACCUGUGAUGCUGGCUACGCUAAGUAGCUACAUCAGUUUUAAUUAGGGCCCUCACAGAGUGGCUCGCUAGCGAAAAUGAGGGUAUUAAUUAUCACCUUUAGCAGAUAUCACGGUGACAAACGGCGAAGGAGGAGGAAGACACCCUCAAAAAAAGAAAAACACCUCUUUUCGAGCCCACUUCCUGUCUUUGAAACGACCUUGGGGCGACGAGCAUCCUCCAUUUUGUGUCAGUGUAUUUCGGUGGUCCCCACUCGCCCCAAAUGUAUCCUGUUUUAGAAAGUGGGCUCUUUUUCUGUCAUGUUUCUUAUAGCUUGGCAAAUCCAAAGAAAUAACCCCUCACCUGCUGUAUGUAAUUCUCAAGUCGGGGGUUUCAACCCACUUGAACUCAAAUAAAAGCAUCGAAACCUUUAUUAGUAACGACAUUUGCCGCACGACACCACCUUUAAAUUUAUUUUAUUUUUUCCCCCUCGUAUACUCGAGGGAGGCAUUCAUUUGUCCGCAUCGACAGUUGAAAAUCGUCUGGCGAAAGAGUCGCCCGCGGAGCACCUUGCCCGUGUCAACGUUGUCUCCCGGAAAAGCGUCACAUUCAUCAUCAUCAUCAGCCCGUCAUUAGACGACGUCACCCUAUUACCCAAAUCACAUUAUCGCACUUCUAUUCAUUAAACUCAAAGCCACUCGGAGCCAGCGACGGGUCCCGUCGGUGCCAAAGGGCGGCGCACUCCAGCAUUCCACUUCAGCACUUCGCCGCUUCACAUUUGCAUACCAGAGAAUGGGCCACAAUAUUAGGUACACCGUCGUCAUAAAAAAAGCGCCGGAACUCCCAACUGGGUGUGACAGGAAAAAACAACAACAACAACCACAAUGUCGGCAGCAGCCUGUUACGAUGAGAGAGGCCUCCAAAGAAAAGCCCUGAGGGCUGUAGGGAGGCCUGUGAAUAACCUGUCAGCACCUUCCUUCAAUGUGCAAAGCGUUUUGUGUGGGGCGCCACCUGAGCAAAGCAGGCGGCUCAUCGGGAGGCGGGGGUGGGGGGGUGUCAAGCCCACUUCCCUCGCUGGAGCACGAGUGCAAAGGAAAUGGGCCUUAACAUUGCACACGAGGCUGACUAGGGAGCUCCAUUAAGCCAAGCGUUCACUCUCGAUGGAUAUGGAUGUCCGUUAUGACACACUGGAGCAUCCAUUCAAAUCCGACUCCUCGUAACGAUGACAUCACGGAGGCCACGAAGAAGAAUGUUUGACAAAGGUGCCACGGUGACACCUCAAUAGCCGCAAAGACCUUGAGUGCAACUGAACGCAUCGCGGGGAGUGAAGAAGGGCCUCCAACUGUCCACUUUUUCAUCAGAAUGCACUUUUAUAUAGACAUUGCAAAAUAUAAUAGAUGACAUGUUAAAUAUCGUGAUGUAUCAAAUUAUUUCAUGAUAUCAUAUGUACUGCAUAUGGUAUCGUGAUAUAUCAUAGACAUCCCAAGGUAAUGGAGUUGGUAUCGUAUUGAUGUCAUUGAUAUCUUGAUGCAUCGCGAAAAAAGGGCCCGUGAUGAUACUGUAGACACUGCUUUUUCGAUGUAUCAUAAUAGCCGGAAUCUAAAAUCCAUCAGUUGUAUUCCCGAUGGAAUGGUGACAUCAUCGACAGCAGGCCGUAUCACAGAUUUCAUGUACGUAUCAUGGAAGGUAUCGCGAUGUAUCGUAUAUUGUGUUGUCGCAAUGUCAUCGUGUCGUCAAAAUGUAGAUUGCAUUGUCGGAUGGGAUGUAUCGCAAGCGAUAUCGUGAUACAGACAUGUAUAUAUCAGCAAUGUAUCAUACAUACUGCCUCCAGUGAUUUGAUAAUUAGGGGCACCUGUGCACAGAGUAAGGACUUGAUGGGGGGCGGGGGGAAAUGGAUCGAAGAUCAGCCUCAGUAUUGCGUCACAUAACGAUGAUCGAGACGAAAACUCGGGAAGGAGACUGGAGUGCAACAUGGAUCAUUUGUGAGUACUUCCAAAUUACUAAUUUGUUAAGUUUGUUUUUCCUGAUUUGUUGGCUGUGUUUUUCUUGGCUGCACUGGAUUGCUUUUGGCAUGUUUUAAACAAAUAAUUGACUUGGUCUUAGUUCUGUGAUGUGGGACUGUUUAUAUAAUUAAUAAAAAGAAAAAAAACCCUACAACUUUGACUAGCGAAAAUGACAACAAUUGCUUUAAUGAGGUAAAGACAUCGAGUCGUCUGUGUGCUAGGCGGCCCGUGAAUGCUCGUUGUUGCAUUGAGGCAUUGUUUUCCCAAUCACUGUGAUGAGCGUGAGAGAUUUGACAGCUCAGAGAGCAAGAUUGUGUCCUCCCUUUCUGAAGCGUUCUCACCAUGACCGAGACCUGGAGAUACACAAUGUUAUUUAUUU